RNAcentral lists this ribosomal RNA (254 nucleotides) under uncultured bacterium. RNAcentral's name for it is "partial 16S ribosomal RNA". It matches the Rfam family "Bacterial small subunit ribosomal RNA", at positions 524 to 776 of the family's 1533-position model. The record is from RNAcentral.
UACGUAGGUGGCGAGCGUUGUCCGGAUUUACUGGGCGUAAAGAGCGCGUAGGCGGUCAGCACAAGUCAGUUGUGAAAUCUCCGGGCUUAACUCGGAAAGGUCAACUGAUACUGUGCGACUAGAGUGCAGAAGGGGCAACUGGAAUUCUCGGUGUAGCGGUGAAAUGCGUAGAUAUCGAGAGGAACACCUGCGGCGAAGGCGGGUUGCUGGGCUGACACUGACGCUGAUGCGCGAAAGCCAGGGGAGCGAACGGG